AGCGAACGCUGGCGGCAGGCUUAACACAUGCAAGUCGAGCGGGCACUUUCGGGUGUCAGCGGCAGACGGGUGAGUAACGCGUGGGAACGUGCCCUCUGGUUCGGAAUAACUCAGGGAAACUUGAGCUAAUACCGGAUACGCCCUUUUGGGGAAAGGCUUGCUGCCGGAGGAUCGGCCCGCGUCUGAUUAGCUAGUUGGUGAGGUAACGGCUCACCAAGGCGACGAUCAGUAGCUGGUCUGAGAGGAUGAUCAGCCACACUGGGACUGAGACACGGCCCAGACUCCUACGGGAGGCAGCAGUGGGGAAUAUUGGACAAUGGGCGCAAGCCUGAUCCAGCCAUGCCGCGUGAGUGAUCAAGGCCUUAGGGUUGUAAAGCUCUUUUAUCCGGGACGAUAAUGACGGUACCGGAGGAAUAAGCCCCGGCUAACUUCGUG
RNAcentral lists this ribosomal RNA (435 nucleotides) under uncultured bacterium. RNAcentral's name for it is "partial 16S ribosomal RNA". It matches the Rfam family "Bacterial small subunit ribosomal RNA", at positions 29 to 507 of the family's 1533-position model. The record is from RNAcentral.